GGCGGCAGCCUAAACAUGCAAGUCGAACGAGACCUUCGGGUCUAGUGGCGCACGGGUGCGUAACGCGUGGGAAUCUGCCCUUGGGUUCGGGAUAACAGUUGGAAACGACUGCUAAUACCGGAUGAUGACUUCGGUCCAAAGAUUUAUCGCCCAGGGAUGAGCCCGCGUAGGAUUAGCUAGUUGGUGAGGUAAAGGCUCACCAAGGCGACGAUCCUUAGCUGGUCUGAGAGGAUGAUCAGCCACACUGGGACUGAGACACGGCCCAGACUCCUACGGGAGGCAGCAGUGGGGAAUAUUGGACAAUGGGCGAAAGCCUGAUCCAGCAACGCCGCGUGAGUGAUGAAGGUCUUCGGAUCGUAAAACUCUGUUAUUAGGGAAGAACAUAUGUGUAAGUAACUGUGCACAUCUUGACGGUACCUAAUCAGAAAGCCACGGCUAACUACGUGCCAGCAGCCGCGGUAAU
Molecule: ribosomal RNA, 463 nt
Filed under: uncultured bacterium
Lineage: Bacteria
Description: bacterial SSU rRNA
Rfam family: Bacterial small subunit ribosomal RNA
Source: RNAcentral